Molecule: ribosomal RNA, 451 nt
Filed under: uncultured bacterium
Lineage: Bacteria
Description: bacterial SSU rRNA
Rfam family: Bacterial small subunit ribosomal RNA
Source: RNAcentral
AUACGGCCCAGACUCCUACGGAGCAGCAGUGGAAUAUUGCACAAUGGGCGCAAGCCUGAUGCAGCAACGCCGCGUGCGGGAUGACGGCCUUCGGGUUGUAAACCGCUUUCAGCAGGGACGAAGCGCAAGUGACGGUACCUGCAGAAGAAGCACCGGCUAACUACGUGCCAGCAGCCGCGGUGAUACGUAGGGUGCGAGCGUUGUCCGGAUUUAUUGGGCGUAAAGAGCUUGUAGGCGGUUAGUCGCGUCGUAAGUGCAAACUCAGGGCUUAACCCUGAGCCUGCUUUCGAUACGGGCUGACUAGAGGAAGGUAGGGGAGAAUGGAAUUCCCGGUGGAGCGGUGGAAUGCGCAGAUAUCGGGAGGAACACCAGUGGCGAAGGCGGUUCUCUGGACCUUUCCUGACGCUGAGAAGCGAAAGCGUGGGGAGCAAACAGGCUUAGAUACCCUGGU